AGUGAACGCUGGCGGUAGGCCUAACACAUGCAAGUCGAACGGCAGCACAGUAAGAGCUUGCUCUUACGGGUGGCGAGUGGCGGACGGGUGAGGAAUACAUCGGAAUCUACUUUUUCGUGGGGGAUAACGUAGGGAAACUUACGCUAAUACCGCAUACGACCUACGGGUGAAAGCAGGGGAUCUUCGGACCUUGCGCGAUUGAAUGAGCCGAUGUCGGAUUAGCUAGUUGGCGGGGUAAAGGCCCACCAAGGCGACGAUCCGUAGCUGGUCUGAGAGGAUGAUCAGCCACACUGGAACUGAGACACGGUCCAGACUCCUACGGGAGGCAGCAGUGGGGAAUAUUGGACAAUGGGCGCAAGCCUGAUCCAGCCAUAACGCGUGGGUGAAGAAGGCCUUCGGGUUUUAAAGCCCUUUUGUUGGGAAAGAAAAGCAGCAGGUUAAUACCCCGCUGUUCUGACGGUACCCAAAGAAUAAGCACCGGCUAACUUCGUG
RNAcentral lists this ribosomal RNA (492 nucleotides) under uncultured bacterium. RNAcentral's name for it is "partial 16S ribosomal RNA". It matches the Rfam family "Bacterial small subunit ribosomal RNA", at positions 29 to 507 of the family's 1533-position model. The record is from RNAcentral.